GUACAAGCAGUGGGAGCACAGGUUUACCUGUGUGACUGCGUACCUUUUGUAUAAUGGGUCAGCGACUUAUAUUCUGUAGCAAGGUUAACCGUAUAGGGGAGCCGGAGGGAAACCGAGUCUUAAUUGGGCGUUAAGUUGCAGGGUAUAGACCCGAAACCCGGUGAUCUAGCCAUGGGCAGGUUGAAGGUUGGGUAACACUAACUGGAGGACCGAACCGACUAAUGUUGAAAAAUUAGCGGAUGACCUGUGGCUGGGGGUGAAAGGCCAAUCAAACCGGGAGAUAGCUGGUUCUCCCCGAAAGCUAUUUAGGUAGCGCCUCGUGAAUUCAUCUCCGGGGGUAGAGCACUGUUUCGGCUAGGGGGCCAUCCCGGCUUACCAACCCGAUGCAAACUGCGAAUACCGGAGAAUGUUAUCACGGGAGACACACGGCGGGUGCUAACGUCCGUCGUGAAGAGGGAAACAACCCAGACCGCCAGCUAAGGUCCCAAAGUCAUGGUUAAGUGGGAAACGAUGUGGGAAGGCCCAGACAGCCAGGAUGUUGGCUUAGAAGCAGCCAUCAUUUAAAGAAAGCGUAAUAGCUCACUGGUCGAGUCGGCCUGCGCGGAAGAUGUAACGGGGCUAAACCAU
RNAcentral lists this ribosomal RNA (627 nucleotides) under Salmonella enterica subsp. enterica serovar Infantis. RNAcentral describes it as "partial 23S ribosomal RNA". It matches the Rfam family "Bacterial large subunit ribosomal RNA", at positions 566 to 1190 of the family's 2925-position model. Lineage: Bacteria; Pseudomonadati; Pseudomonadota; Gammaproteobacteria; Enterobacterales; Enterobacteriaceae. The record is from RNAcentral.